CCAAUAGCGUAUAUUAAAGUUGUUGCAGUUAAAAAGCUCGUAGUUGAAUUUCGGGAUCAAGGGAUCGGUCAUGCCUUGGUAUGUACUGGUCUUAUUGGUUCUCACCUUCUAAAGAACCAUGAUGUCAUUCAUUUGAUGUUAUGGGGAAUUAGGACUGUUACCUUGAAAAAAUUAGAGUGUUUAAAGCAAGCUUACGCUUGAAUACAUUAGCAUGGAAUAAUGAAAUAGGACAUCAGAUUCUAUUUUGUUGGUUUCUAGGAUCGAUGUAAUGAUUAAUAGCGAUAGUUGGGGGCAUUAGUAUUCAAUUGGCAGAGGUGAAAUUCUUGGAUUUAUUGAAGACUAACUACUGCGAAAGUAUUUGCCAAGGAUGUUUUCAGUAAUCAAGAACGAAAGUUAGGGGAUCGAAGACGAUCAGAUAGCGUCGUAGUCUUAACCAUAAACUAUGCCGACUAGGGAUCGGAUGAUGUUAAUUUUUUAAUGACUCAUUCGGCACCUUACG
Molecule: ribosomal RNA, 499 nt
Filed under: uncultured Glomeromycotina
Lineage: Eukaryota; Fungi; Glomeromycota
Description: partial small subunit ribosomal RNA
Rfam family: Eukaryotic small subunit ribosomal RNA
Source: RNAcentral